This is a non-coding RNA of Schistosoma haematobium, 78 nucleotides long. Lineage: Eukaryota; Metazoa; Platyhelminthes; Trematoda; Strigeidida; Schistosomatidae. The record is from Rfam.
AGCCUUCCUUAUCCAUGCUGAGAUUUUGUCACAUACCAGACCACAAGGGUUGAUGAGACUUCCAAGAUAAGUGAAGCG